This 373-nucleotide ribosomal RNA is filed under the name uncultured bacterium. RNAcentral describes it as "bacterial SSU rRNA". It matches the Rfam family "Bacterial small subunit ribosomal RNA", at positions 525 to 896 of the family's 1533-position model. The record is from RNAcentral.
ACAGAGGGUGCAAGCGUUGCUCGGAUUUACUGGGCGUAAAGCGUACGCAGACGGUUUGGUAGGUCGGGUGUGAAAGCCCAGGGCUCAACCCUGGAAAUGCACUCGAAACCACCUCACUUGAGUAUAGGAGAGGGAAGCGGAAUUCCUGGUGUAGAGGUGAAAUUCGUAGAUAUCAGGAGGAACACCGGUGGCGAAGGCGGCUUCCUGGCCUAUUACUGACGUUCAGGUACGAAAGCGUGGGUAGCAAACAGGAUUAGAUACCCUGGUAGUCCACGCCGUAAACGAUGAGUGCUGGAUGUCGGGGGUAUUCACCCCCUCGGUAUCGAAGCUAACGCGAUAAGCACUCCGCCUGGGGAGUACGGCCGCAAGGUUG